ACCUUACCAGGUCUUGACAUCCUCUGACAAUCCUAGAGAUAGGACGUCCCCUUCGGGGGCAGAGUGACAGGUGGUGCAUGGUUGUCGUCAGCUCGUGUCGUGAGAUGUUGGGUUAAGUCCCGCAACGAGCGCAACCCUUGAUCUUAGUUGCCAGCAUUCAGUUGGGCACUCUAAGGUGACUGCCGGUGACAAACCGGAGGAAGGUGGGGAUGACGUCAAAUCAUCAUGCCCCUUAUGACCUGGGCUACACACGUGCUACAAUGGACAGAACAAAGGGCAGCGAAACCGCGAGGUUAAGCCAAUCCCACAAAUCUGUUCUCAGUUCGGAUCGCAGUCUGCAACUCGACUGCGUGAAGCUGGAAUCGCUAGUAAUCGCGGAUCAGCAUGCCGCGGUGAAUACGUUCCCGGGCCUUGUACACACCGCCCGUAU
RNAcentral lists this ribosomal RNA (430 nucleotides) under Bacillus subtilis. RNAcentral's name for it is "bacterial SSU rRNA". It matches the Rfam family "Bacterial small subunit ribosomal RNA", at positions 968 to 1399 of the family's 1533-position model. The record is from RNAcentral. Lineage: Bacteria; Bacillati; Bacillota; Bacilli; Caryophanales; Bacillaceae.